GGGGAUUUAGCUCAGUGGUAUAAGCGCCUGCCUCACAAGCACGUGGUUGUGAGUUCGAUCCCCGGUUCCCG
Cavia porcellus (domestic guinea pig) is the source of this 71-nucleotide transfer RNA. It matches the Rfam family "tRNA". From Rfam's summary of the family: Transfer RNA (tRNA) molecules are approximately 80 nucleotides in length. Their secondary structure includes four short double-helical elements and three loops (D, anti-codon, and T loops). The record is from Rfam. Lineage: Eukaryota; Metazoa; Chordata; Mammalia; Rodentia; Caviidae.